Long non-coding RNA from Rhinopithecus roxellana (golden snub-nosed monkey), 376 nucleotides. RefSeq lists it as uncharacterized. NCBI's taxonomy places the organism in Eukaryota, Metazoa, Chordata, Mammalia, Primates, Cercopithecidae. The transcript has 3 exons. The record is from RefSeq and is a predicted model, not a curated record.
CUGGUGGCCCCGCACUGCUCCAGGCACUGGAGAGACAGAUGGGGAAAUGGAAGCACAGAGAGGCCAAGACACUUGUUCAAGGCCACACAGCCCGUAAGUGGUAAGGACAGGACUUGAAUCUGAGCAGUCCAGCUACAGAGCCCACAUGCUGAAACCACCGUGCUGUGCAGUUUUCUGGCAGGUGAUGCUGAUGACAGUGAUGACACUUUUGACACAGGGCUUUGAGGAACAGUCUGUAAAGAACACCUCCCCAGCCGUGGUGACUCACGCCUGUAUUCCCAGCGAUUCGGGAGGCUGAGGACAGAGGAUCACUUGCAGCCAGGAGUUCAAGACCAGCCUCAGCAACAUAGCGAGACCUCAUCUCUUAAAAUAAAUU